CACGGGCGGCAGAGAUUGACA
RNAcentral lists this microRNA (21 nucleotides) under Oreochromis niloticus (Nile tilapia). Its description in RNAcentral is "oni-miR-10657". The record is from miRBase by way of RNAcentral. Lineage: Eukaryota; Metazoa; Chordata; Actinopteri; Cichliformes; Cichlidae.